Molecule: long non-coding RNA, 579 nt
Organism: Arabidopsis thaliana (thale cress)
Lineage: Eukaryota; Viridiplantae; Streptophyta; Magnoliopsida; Brassicales; Brassicaceae
Product: other RNA
Exons: 1
Source: RefSeq
UACUUGCUCCUCUCCCAUUUUCCUGUAAAAAUAUCCAAAUGUCCAAAUUUCAGAAACCGCCUCGGUAUUACUUGAUGGAGGAGUCAUCUCAGUUCAACUCAAAUUGAUUUUAUUUUUUAGAAUUUUUUUUUUUACUAGAUUACAGAAGAAGAAGAAUAACUCAAAUUUUACAAAAGUGAUUUUUAAGUGAAAGUGAUUAAGACUUAGAAGAGAUAAUGGUAUUGUAAUGUCUACACUUUCUCAGUUUCUGUCUCGAUCGUAUAUUGAUGCUUUGACUGACGACAAUUCCACCUUAACAGUAGUACCAGAAACAAAUAAUUGAGUCUUAUCAAUUAUGAUGCAUGAUUAUUUUUUAAUGACCCACUUGUAUAUUGUGUACUAAAAUAUCUACAAAUUUGUAUAUUGUAAAAAGAAUCCCAUAUUCUUCUGCUAAUCAAGUUGCACUAUAUACGCCGAAUCAAUAAUUAAGGUAAUUUAAAAAUUGUAAUAAACUAUUAACGAAUAUAAAGUUUUUAAAAAGAAAAAAAGACAACAAAGACUCGAGAAAAUGAUAUUUGCCAUGACAAAAUUCCAAAAUGG